GACGAACGCUGGCGGCGUGCCUAACACAUGCAAGUCGAGCGGGGUUGAGGCGAGAGGUAACUCGAACUUCUACCUAGCGGCGGACGGGUGAGUAACGCGUGGGCAACCUGCCUCAAGGUUUGGGAUAACAGCCCGAAAGGGCUGCUAAUACCGGGUAUGCUUGUGGCCUCGCAUGGGGCUAUGAGCAAAGGGGAAACCCGCCUUGAGAUGGGCCCGCGUCCCAUCAGCUAGUUGGUGAGGUAACAGCUCACCAAGGCGACGACGGGUAGCCGGCCUGAGAGGGUGACCGGCCACACUGGGACUGAGACACGGCCCAGACUCCUACGGGGGCAGCAGUGGGGGAUCUUGCACAAUGGGCGAAAGCCUGAUGCAGCGACGCCGCGUGAGCGAAGAAGGCCUUCGGGUUGUAAAGCUCUGUCUGGAGGGACGAAGGAAGUGACGGUACCUCCGGAGGAAGCCACGGCUAACUACGUGCCAGCAGCCGCGGUAAGAUCACGUGU
RNAcentral lists this ribosomal RNA (500 nucleotides) under uncultured bacterium. RNAcentral describes it as "bacterial SSU rRNA". It matches the Rfam family "Bacterial small subunit ribosomal RNA", at positions 28 to 530 of the family's 1533-position model. The record is from RNAcentral.